CACCAGGUGGCGCUCGCUCCCCCAUUUCCCCCCCCCUCCCGCGCCGACGCCCGUGACGUCAGCCGCCCGGCUCCAUUUGAGCGCCUCUCGGCAGCCGAGAACUCGGACUUCCCGUGUGGCUCACAACAUAACUACUCGGCGUUGCUUCUACAGUGGCUGUGGCUCGACCCCUGGCCUGGGAACUUCCAUAUGCCGCAGCCCCGCGGCGGCAGAUGGCACUCGUUCUGCCGCUUUUUCCUGGCUGUGUGCGAUGCCAUCGCAUAGAUGUCCCCGGGUCUGCGAAGUGCACUCACCUGUCAGUGGACCUUUAGGUGGCUUCCAGAUCUUGGCUCUGCCCCGCGGCGGCAGAUGGCACUCGUUCUGCCGCUUUUUCCUGGCUGUGUGCGAUGCCAUCGCAUAGAUGUCCCCGGCUGCGAAGUGCACUCACCUGUCAGUGGACCUUUAGGUGGCUUCCAGAUCUUGGCUCUGGUGAGUAGUGCGGCGACAGACAGAGGGGUGCCCGGGUCUGCUUCCGGGAAAGUUUGGUCCCGGUGAAAUGGAGCUG
RNAcentral lists this long non-coding RNA (544 nucleotides) under Sus scrofa (pig). Its description in RNAcentral is "lncRNA (ENSSSCG00070006311.1)". Lineage: Eukaryota; Metazoa; Chordata; Mammalia; Artiodactyla; Suidae. The record is from RNAcentral.